Molecule: long non-coding RNA, 787 nt
Filed under: Gossypium barbadense (sea-island cotton)
Lineage: Eukaryota; Viridiplantae; Streptophyta; Magnoliopsida; Malvales; Malvaceae
Description: long non-coding RNA (GBAR_LNC000086)
Source: RNAcentral
UUAACUUUAUCUUCUUAUAAAUGACAAAAUAAGUGUUGAGAUAGAAACAAUUCAUGAAGGAAAAAGAGAGUGAAAUUCAACACACAUAAAACAUGAAACAAAAUAAAAUAAAUCAAGCAAAAACGAAGUUGAUGUCGAUGAAUACGCAAUUGUUGAGAAACCCUUGAUUGCAUGCCCCUCAAGCUAUUCCACCUCCUUUUGGUUUUGGUGAUGUUAUUUAGUUAUGAUGAUAUGAUUCAUCAGUUUAAUAAGAGACUAAUAUCCAUUGAGAUCGGGGGAUAUCUCCAAUGUAUGCCAUUGUUGAGUCCUAGGGGAAUUUGAUGAUCAUGUUAUCCUUUGACCAAAAGCAAUCUGAUUAUAAAUAUUAUAUCAUGAGUGCAAUUCCAAAACCCCAUGUUUUUAUUUCCAAGCACUUGAUGCAAAGAUCCUUACCAAGGAGAAUACUCUUUGUAAGAGUUUCGGUUUGCUAUUUGUCUAGUUUGAUGUUUAGAUAGAUGUUUGAAUAGAAAUGUGGACAUUACAAAGGCAGUAAACAAAUAAGAGACAGAGAAAAAUAGGAACACAAACUUUGUUAAUUCAAUUCAAAAAUAAUCUUACUUUGCGAUUUAUUAGUAACCUACUGACUAGCCUAAUCUACCCUUACACAAGAAGUAAUUGCAACCUAAUAGAUAACCUGAUUUGUUAGAAUCACUCACCCAAAUUACCACACUUACAAAACUAUAAACUGAGUGCCAAAUACGAACAAAAGCCUAACAACAAAUACAAAACAAUGUAGUAUCAACACCCU